Molecule: ribosomal RNA, 253 nt
Filed under: uncultured bacterium
Lineage: Bacteria
Description: partial 16S ribosomal RNA
Rfam family: Bacterial small subunit ribosomal RNA
Source: RNAcentral
CACGGGGGGAGCAAGCGUUGUUCGGAAUCACUGGGCGUAAAGGGCGUGUAGGCGGUCAGGUAAGUGGGAUGUGAAAGCCCUCGGCUCACCCGAGGAUCUGCAUCUCAAACUGCCUGGCUUGAGUAUGGGAGAGGAUGAGGGAAUUCCUGGUGUAGCGGUGAAAUGCGUAGAUAUCUGGAGGAACACCGGUGGCGAAGGCGCCCACCUGGCCUGCUACUGACGCUGAUGCGCGAAAGCUAGGGGAGCAAACGGG